Molecule: long non-coding RNA, 205 nt
Filed under: Nicotiana benthamiana
Lineage: Eukaryota; Viridiplantae; Streptophyta; Magnoliopsida; Solanales; Solanaceae
Description: long non-coding RNA (NBEN_LNC003762)
Source: RNAcentral
CAACCCUGAUACUAGACCUCCAGACUUUCCUAUAAAUGGCCAUGUUCUCAGAAACCCGCAUUCUAGCCAUGUCAUGCCUAAUCACCUCUCCCCAAUACCUCUUAAGCCUCCCUCUGCCUCGCCGUGCGCCGACCAUCGCCAGCCGCUCACAACUCCUCACCGGGGCAUCAGGACUUCUCCUCCGUACAUGCCCGAACCACCUCAG